RNAcentral lists this ribosomal RNA (487 nucleotides) under uncultured bacterium. Its description in RNAcentral is "partial 16S ribosomal RNA". It matches the Rfam family "Bacterial small subunit ribosomal RNA", at positions 28 to 507 of the family's 1533-position model. The record is from RNAcentral.
GAUGAACGCUCGCGAUAGGCUUAACACAUGCAAGUCGAGGGGCAGCACAAGGUAGCUUGCUAUCUGGGUGGCGACCGGCGCACGGGUGCGUAACGCGUAUGCAACUUGCCCUAUACAGGAGGAUAACCCGUCGAAAGACGGACUAAUACUGCGUAUGCUCACAACUUGGCAUCAAGUGGUGAGGAAAGAAAUUCGGUAUAGGAUAGGCAUGCGUCCCAUUAGCUUGUUGGUGAGGUAACGGCUCACCAAGGCAACGAUGGGUAGGGGAACUGAGAGGUUUAUCCCCCACACUGGUACUGAGACACGGACCAGACUCCUACGGGAGGCAGCAGUGAGGAAUAUUGGUCAAUGGGCGCGAGCCUGAACCAGCCAAGUCGCGUGAAGGAUGACUGUCUUAUGGAUUGUAAACUUCUUUUAGACGGGAAUAACAAGAGUCACGUGUGACUCCCUGCAUGUACCGGAUGAAUAAGCAUCGGCUAACUCCGUG